UACGGGGGGGGCAAGCGUUGUUCGGAAUUACUGGGCGUAAAGGGCUCGUAGGUGGCCAACUAAGUCAGACGUGAAAUCCCUCGGCUUAACCGGGGAACUGCGUCUGAUACUGGAUGGCUUGAGUUCGGGAGAGGGAUGCGGAAUUCCAGGUGUAGCGGUGAAAUGCGUAGAUAUCUGGAGGAACACCGGUGGCGAAGGCGGCACUCUGGGCUGGAACUGACGCUGAGGAGCGAAAGCGUGGGGAGCGAACAGG
RNAcentral lists this ribosomal RNA (253 nucleotides) under uncultured bacterium. RNAcentral describes it as "partial 16S ribosomal RNA". It matches the Rfam family "Bacterial small subunit ribosomal RNA", at positions 524 to 776 of the family's 1533-position model. The record is from RNAcentral.